GUUGAACGCUGGCGGCAGGCCUAACACAUGCAAGUCGAACGAGUGGCGGACGGGUGAGUGAUGCUUGGGAAUAUAGCUAAUGGAAGGGGCUAACUACGGGAAACUGUAGCUAAUACCGCGUACGAUAGGAUGAGCCCUCGUGGGAGUAGGUAGUUGGUGAGGUAAAGUCUCACAAAGCCGACGAUGUCUAGCUGGUCUGAGAGGCGGACAAGCCACACUGGGACUGAGACACGGCCCAGACUCCUACGGGAGGCAGAAGUGGGGAAUAUGGCGCAAUGGGGGCAACCUGACGCAGCCAUGCCGCGUGAAUGAAGAAGGUCUUCGGGUUGUAAAGUUCUUUUGUUAGCGAGGCGUUAACUACAGAAGAAGCAACGGCUAACUCCGUGCCAGCAGCCGCGGUAAUAC
RNAcentral lists this ribosomal RNA (405 nucleotides) under uncultured bacterium. RNAcentral describes it as "partial 16S ribosomal RNA". It matches the Rfam family "Bacterial small subunit ribosomal RNA", at positions 28 to 526 of the family's 1533-position model. The record is from RNAcentral.